UAAACUCCAACAAAGUGUUCAUAAGGAAAGUACAUAAAGGAAUUGUUUAGCAUAUAUGGCUAACACAAAAGAAUGUGGCACUUGACUUUAAUAGAGUAAGCGGAUUGUGACAACAAAUUCAAGAGACAUGGAUGAGCUUAAAACCUUCCUGAAUAUGGUGUAGAGCAAAGGAUGACUAAGAUUGAGUUGAUUCUAUUACCAAGGAGUUAAAGAGAUGUUCAACUCUGGUAUCUAAUUGAUAGCCGUCUAAGAAGAUGGGCUAAAGCAGUAAGUGGGGGAGCGAUCUGAAAUGUGAUUAACAAGAUGACAUAGAAGUGGCAUAACUAAGCAGUAUGAAGUGUUCUCUAUGAAGAAAGCCAUAUUAUUCUACAAAUUGCUUGGGCAAAAAUGCUUCGAAGGUCUUGAAGGACUUGGUGAGUAAGGGAGGAGGGAACAUAAGGUAUAAAUCAUAGAGUUGUCAACUCUAGGUUGUUUGUACUUUCUUGUUCCUCCUCGUCUAAGGUAGUAUUGUUCGCGUGAAGGGAUCAAGCAUGAUGGAAAUAUUCUGCGAGUUGUGUGUCAAAUAAGGGACAUGGGACGGACGAGGAGAUCUUUAAAGUCUCAUGGAGGA
RNAcentral lists this long non-coding RNA (610 nucleotides) under Manihot esculenta (cassava). Its description in RNAcentral is "long non-coding RNA (MESC_LNC003473)". The record is from RNAcentral. Lineage: Eukaryota; Viridiplantae; Streptophyta; Magnoliopsida; Malpighiales; Euphorbiaceae.